This is a long non-coding RNA of Eucalyptus grandis, 761 nucleotides long. RefSeq lists it as uncharacterized. The record is from RefSeq and is a predicted model, not a curated record. NCBI's taxonomy places the organism in Eukaryota, Viridiplantae, Streptophyta, Magnoliopsida, Myrtales, Myrtaceae. The transcript is spliced from 3 exons.
UUUUUUUGGUCGAAAGAGAACUUAUAUUAUAUUAGAGAUUAAUACAAGCGGAAGCAUCUGAAGAAAGAACAUUAAGAAAGGAAGGCGGAGGAAAGAAAAGCCAGUUUGUCGAUGGGCCUUGAUCCCGAUGGGCUUUUGCAGCCCAAUCAGCUGCUAGGUUUGCCGUUCGUGGAAUAUGUCGAAGCGAAAGGUGAGGGCAUUGCUGAAGAAGAUCUUCCAGAAUCGCGAACAGAUGACUCUCCUUCCAUGGCGGCUGCUGUUUCGUCCGAACGAUCUCCACCAGCUGCAAGCAAUCAGAUUCAAUCACAAGUGGCUGAAGAUGGAGACCCUUCUGGAUGAUCCGUUGAAGAGCAGACAUAAGAGCGUAGAUCUCGGCUUGGAAUGGCGACUGAGCAGGCACAGAUCGGAUAAUGCGUUGGGAGAGGGCUUCAUUGACGACAAGAAGAGAAUCCAACGGAGAGUGGCGAAAGACGGCGUUGUUUCGAUGUUUCCAAAUUUCCCACAGAGAUGAGCAAUCACUUCGAAAUCCAGAGACUCUCGAGGGUUAGAAAUAUAGUCUACAAGCCAAGCAUCAAGUCUGCGUACUGAGGUACCAGAAGAUGUCUCUGUCCAAACCAGGUGAUCGUGGUGAAGAAAAGGAUUGAUAGGAGUGUUGAGAAUGGCUUUACUAACCUGGUGAUCGAAGAAUGAAGUAACUGAGGAAGACUUCCAUUCAGAACGUUGAGAAUCAAUGAGAUCAGCAACAAGUGCUGGUUCGCCCU